RNAcentral lists this ribosomal RNA (1028 nucleotides) under Acanthonevra amurensis. RNAcentral describes it as "SSU rRNA". It matches the Rfam family "Eukaryotic small subunit ribosomal RNA", at positions 45 to 997 of the family's 1831-position model. Lineage: Eukaryota; Metazoa; Arthropoda; Insecta; Diptera; Tephritidae. The record is from RNAcentral.
AUAGCCAUGCAUGUCUAAGUACACACGAAUUAAAAGUGAAACCGCAAAAGGCUCAUUAUAUCAGUUAUGGUUCCAUAGAUCGUUAACAGUUACUUGGAUAACUGUGGUAAUUCUAGAGCUAAUACAUGCAAUAUAAACACGGACCGUUUGGAACGUGUGCUUUUAUUAGGCUAAAACCAAGCGAUCUUUCGAUCGUUAUACUGGUUGAACUCUAGAUAACUUGCAGAUCGUAUGGUCCCGUACCGACGACAGAUCUUUCAAAUGUCUGCCCUAUCAACUUUUGAUGGUAGUAUCUAGGACUACCAUGGUUGCAACGGGUAACGGGGAAUCAGGGUUCGAUUCCGGAGAGGGAGCCUGAGAAACGGCUACCACAUCUAAGGAAGGCAGCAGGCGCGUAAAUUACCCACUCCCAGUUCGGGGAGGUAGUGACGAAAAAUAACAAUACAGGACUCAUAUCCGAGGCCCUGUAAUUGGAAUGAGUACACUUUAAAUCCUUUAACAAGGACCUAUUGGAGGGCAAGUCUGGUGCCAGCAGCCGCGGUAAUUCCAGCUCCAAUAGCGUAUAUUAAAGUUGUUGCGGUUAAAACGUUCGUAGUUGAAUUUGUGCUUCAUACGGGUAGUACAACUACAAUUGUGGUAUGUACAUUACCUUAUGUAUGUAAGCGUAUUACCGGUGGAGUUCUUAUAUAUAAUUAAUACAAUGUAUUUUUUAUAUAUUCCUCCUAUUUAAACCUGCUUCAGUGCUCUUCAUCGAGUGUUGUUGUGGGCCGGUACAAUUACUUUGAACAAAUUAGAGUGCUUAAAGCAGGCUCCAAAUGCCUGAAUAUUUUGUGCAUGGAAUAAUGAAAUAAGACCUCUGUUCUACUUUCAUUGGUUUUUAGAUCAAGAGGUAAUGAUUAAUAGAAGCAGUUUGGGGGGCAUUAGUAUUACGACGCGAGAGGUGAAAUUCUUGGACCGUCGUAAGACUAACUUAAGCGAAAGCAUUUUGCCAAAGAUGUUUUUCAUUAAUCAAGAACGAAGUUAGAGGU